GAAAAAAGUUGAAAUAGCUAGACACUAACUUUAUAUUGGACCCUAGUAGCUUUAUAUGUGCUUGUGGUUGCAAAUGUAAAUGCAUGGAUGCCUGCUACACUGUAGAAUACAUAACAAGGAAGCUUUGCUUUGCUCUUCAUGGAGUACGAACUCGUCUUCAUAAUUAAAAACCUUCCGCCAAGCAAGCGUAAGGGUCUUUGACAGUAACCAACACUUAUCUCACGAGGCGUACCUAGUAUGUCUUUUUAGGUAUAUAUAUAUAUAUAUAAACAUUUAUUCGUCAUUGUGCGAAGUGCUCCUUUGAAGGAGGGAUUUUCUAAACCAGAACAGAACAGAAUAGCCAUGCAAGAC
Molecule: long non-coding RNA, 351 nt
Filed under: Mytilus galloprovincialis (Mediterranean mussel)
Lineage: Eukaryota; Metazoa; Mollusca; Bivalvia; Mytilida; Mytilidae
Source: RNAcentral